RNAcentral lists this ribosomal RNA (450 nucleotides) under Triticum aestivum (bread wheat). RNAcentral's name for it is "partial small subunit ribosomal RNA". Lineage: Eukaryota; Viridiplantae; Streptophyta; Magnoliopsida; Poales; Poaceae. The record is from RNAcentral.
ACAGAGCAGUUCACGUGGAGGUCCAGGGCGCCACUGCGAUGCCGUUUCUUUGCAUGGCUCGUCCUACGUAAUAGGUGCUGGACCUCAGACCGAUUAGCACGGCAUGGGCUGGACCAUCAGGAAGCUUGCCCGUUCUGUGACCAAGCGGAGGAAACCAUAGACCACAUCGUCGCCCAAUGCGUCUUCGCAAGAGCGAUUUGGACAAGGAUAUGCAUGGCGAUGAACAAGCAAGAGUGGAUACCAACCGGAGACACAAGGCUAACCGAGUGGUGCUUGAGUAAGGGUGGAAACAAAGGAGAGGGAAAGGACAUCCGCGCCCUCAUCCUCCUCGUCAUGUGGAAGCUGUGGAAACACCGCAACUCGAUUGUGUUUGAUGGUGCAACACCAUCGGUGGGAGGAGUACUACGGCGUAUUGUAGAGGAGGGCCGAGCGUGGAAGACAGCCGGCAUC